GCGUCCGUAGUUCAAUGGAUAGAAUAUGGGCUUCCGGAGCCUAUGAUACGGGUUCAAUUCCUGUCGGACGCA
This 72-nucleotide transfer RNA is filed under the name Candidatus Roizmanbacteria bacterium CG2_30_33_16. RNAcentral's name for it is "tRNA-Arg". It matches the Rfam family "tRNA". From Rfam's summary of the family: Transfer RNA (tRNA) molecules are approximately 80 nucleotides in length. Their secondary structure includes four short double-helical elements and three loops (D, anti-codon, and T loops). The record is from RNAcentral. RNAcentral also lists the same sequence under 4 other names. Lineage: Bacteria; Candidatus Roizmaniibacteriota.